RNAcentral lists this long non-coding RNA (484 nucleotides) under Crocodylus porosus (Australian saltwater crocodile). RNAcentral's name for it is "lncRNA (ENSCPRG00005001650.1)". The record is from RNAcentral. Lineage: Eukaryota; Metazoa; Chordata; Crocodylia; Crocodylidae.
AUUUUUGUGAUUGGUUCCUUAUGGGUUUUGCAUUAUGUGCAAUAUUCAAUUUGUUUUUUAAGAAACCCUGCAGAGUCAAGACAGAUUGGCAAGCAACAGAACUGAUUGAACAAAAGAAGGUUAUCCGUGACUGUAUUUAUGAUUAGAUCUCUCUCCUGGUAUUCCAGAGGCAUCUUAAAGAAAAGAAACCACCUGCAGAAGACUGAGGGAGAUUUCUUCGGGAGUUGGAGUUUGUCACUGGGCAAAAUUGUAGUUUAUGCUUUUGCCAAGCUACGAACUGGAACAACACUUUAGAACAGCCAUCUCUAUGUUUAUAUAGUAACUAUAUAAACGGUCCACUGACUCCUCCUUUAUGAGCUGAGCAUUCAGACUUUACAGAGAUAUAUAAGUCAACAUCUCUUGAAAUGAAAAAUCCAACAUGCUGCCUCAUUUUUACCAUUUGGUGUUGUGAUGUUCUUUAAAUGUAAAUCCAGAAAGUCAGUGC